Molecule: ribosomal RNA, 254 nt
Filed under: uncultured bacterium
Lineage: Bacteria
Description: partial 16S ribosomal RNA
Rfam family: Bacterial small subunit ribosomal RNA
Source: RNAcentral
UACAGAGGGCAGCUACCCAGCAAUGGGAUGCGAAUCUCGAAAGCCUGUCUCAGUUCGGAUUGGAGGCUGAAACCCGCCUCCAUGAAGUUGGACUCGCUAGUAAUCGCGCAUCAGCCAUGGCGCGGUGAAUACGUUCCCGGGCCUUGUACACACCGCCCGUCAAGCCAUGGGAGCCGGGGGUGCCUGAAGUUCGUGACCGCAAGGAGCGACCUAGGGCAAAACUGGUGACUGGGGCUAAGUCGUAACAAGGUACC